RNAcentral lists this microRNA (22 nucleotides) under Gallus gallus (chicken). RNAcentral describes it as "gga-miR-1795". Lineage: Eukaryota; Metazoa; Chordata; Aves; Galliformes; Phasianidae. The record is from miRBase by way of RNAcentral.
GCAAGAUGAAGAACAGGCCUGU